UAAAGGUUUGGUCCUAGCCUUUUUGUUAGUUAUUAAUAGGAUUACACAUGCAAGCCUCCGCCCACCGGUGAAAAUGCCCUCUAAGUCGCUAACCGACCUAAAGGAGCGGGUAUCAAGCACACAAAACGUAGCUCACAACACCUUGCUCAGCCACACCCCUACGGGAUACAGCAGUGAUAAAAAUUAAGCCAUGAAUGAAAGUUCGACUAAGCUAUAUUAAACCAGGGUUGGUAAAUUUCGUGCCAGCCACCGCGGCCAUACGAUUAACCCGAACUAACAAACCCACGGCGUAAAGCGUGUCACGGAAACAACCUCGCACUAAAGUUAAAUUUUAGCUAAGCUGUAAAAAGCUAUAGCUAAUAUAAAAAUAUAACACGAAAGUAACUUUAAUAACUCCAACCCCACGACAGCUAAGACCCAAACUGGGAUUAGAUACCCCACUAUGCUUAGCCCUAAACCCAGAUAGUUAUUAAACAAAACUAUUCGCCAGAGAACUACUAGCAACAGCUUAAAACUCAAAGGACUUGGCGGUGCUUCACACCCCUCUAGAGGAGCCUGUUCUAUAAUCGAUAAACCCCGAUAUACCUCACCAUCUCUUGCUAAUUCAGUCUAUAUACCGCCAUCUUCAGCAAACCCUAAUAAAGGAGAAACAGUAAGCACAAUUACCCUUACAUAAAAAAGUUAGGUCAAGGUGUAACCCAUGAGAUGGGAAGCUAAUGGGCUACAUUUUCUAUGCCAGAACACCAUCUACGAAAGCCCUCAUGAAACUAAGGACUAAAGGUGGAUUUAGUAGUAAGCUGAGAAUAGAGUGCUCAGUUGAAUCGGGCCAUGAAGCACGCACACACCGCCCGUCACCCUCCUCAAGUGAAACAAACUCAAAGACAACCUAUUCAAACCACGACAAACACAAGAGGAGACAAGUCGUAACAAGGUAAGCAUACUGGAAAGUGUGCUUGGAUAAAA
Molecule: non-coding RNA, 963 nt
Filed under: Salanoia concolor (brown-tailed mongoose)
Lineage: Eukaryota; Metazoa; Chordata; Mammalia; Carnivora; Eupleridae
Description: 12S ribosomal RNA
Rfam family: Bacterial small subunit ribosomal RNA
Source: RNAcentral